UGGGUUUGACAUGCACAGGACGUGCCUAGAGAUAGGUAUUCCCUUGUGGCCUGUGUGCAGGUGGUGCAUGGCUGUCGUCAGCUCGUGUCGUGAGAUGUUGGGUUAAGUCCCGCAACGAGCGCAACCCUUAUCUUAUGUUGCCAGCGCGUAAUGGCGGGGACUCGUGAGAGACUGCCGGGGUCAACUCGGAGGAAGGUGGGGAUGACGUUUACCGACAGCU
The sequence is an unclassified non-coding RNA, 220 nucleotides long. It matches the Rfam family "Bacterial small subunit ribosomal RNA", at positions 976 to 1196 of the family's 1533-position model.